AGGAUAAACGCUGGCGGCGUGCCUAAUGCAUGCAAGUCGCACGGAUCACCCUUUCGGGGGUGGUGAGUGGCGAACGGGUGAGGAACGCGUGGAGAACCUACCCCGGCGUGGGGGAUACCCGCCAGAAAUGGCGGCUAAUACCGCGUACGGUUGCCGGACGAGAGGUCUGGCAAAGAAAGCCGCAAGGCGCGCUGGGAGGGGUCUGCGCCCGAUUAGCUAGUUGGCGGGGUAAUGGCCCACCAAGGCGGUGAUCGGUAGCUGGUCUGAGAGGAUGAUCAGCCACACGGGGACUGAGACACGGCCCCGACUCCUACGGGAGGCAGCAGCAAGGAAUUUUCCGCAAUGGGCGAAAGCCUGACGGAGCGACGCCGCGUGUGGGAAGAAGGCCUUCGGGUCGUAAACCACUGUCGAAGGGGAAGAUAUUGACGGUACCCUUGGAGGAAGCCCGGCUAACUACGUGCCAGCAGCCGC
This 471-nucleotide ribosomal RNA is filed under the name uncultured bacterium. RNAcentral's name for it is "SSU rRNA". It matches the Rfam family "Bacterial small subunit ribosomal RNA", at positions 26 to 518 of the family's 1533-position model. The record is from RNAcentral.